This 1390-nucleotide ribosomal RNA is filed under the name Myctides barbatus. RNAcentral's name for it is "partial 16S ribosomal RNA". Lineage: Eukaryota; Metazoa; Arthropoda; Insecta; Coleoptera; Curculionidae. The record is from RNAcentral.
UUCUUGAAAACUAAAAUUGUUGGCGGUAUUUUAGUCUAUUCAGAGGAACCUGUCCUAUAAUUGAUAGUCCACGAUUUUAUAGACUUAUUUUAUAUUAGUUUGUAUAUCGUCGUAGAUUGAAUAUUUUAGUAAAAUUUAAAUAUUCAAGAUUUUUUUAAGAAAAGAAUUCAGAUCAAGAUAUAGCUUAUAGAUAAGAAGAGAUGGGUUACAAUAAAUUUAUUUAUAUGGAAAUUUUAUUUUAAAUUAAUUUGAAAGUGGAUUUGAAAGUAAUUAUAAAAAUUUAUUUAUAAUGAUUUUAGCUCUAAAAUAUGCACAUAUCGCCCGUCACUUUCAUUAUAAAAUGAAAUAAGUCGUAACAAAGUAGAUGUACUGGAAAGUGUAUCUAGAAGCAAAUUAAAGCUUAUAUAGCAUUUUAGUUACAUUAAAAAGAGUAUUUAGAUAAAUAUAAUUUGAAAUUUAGAAAUUAUUAUAUAAAAUUUUAUGUGUUAAAUAUAUAAAUAGAUUUAAAGAAAAAAAUUUCAAUUUUAUUAUUAAAAAGAAAAAAUAUAAGUAAUUAUAGGGUAAUAGUAUUGUGAAAGAAAUUCUUUUAUUUAAUAAAAAGAAGAGUUUAGUUUUUGUACCUGGGUAUCAGGGUUUAUUAAGUAAAUUUUAUGUAUUUUAAUUUUCUCGAAUUUAAAAGAGUUAUAUCUUUAUAUUUUUUAUUGUAGAAUAAAUAUUAUUCAUACAGAUAUAGAAGUGAAACGUUAGUCGAUUUUAAAUAUAUCUAGUUUUUUAAGAUAAAAUUUAAUUUUAUUUUAAAUAGAUUAUUAAAUUUAUUUUUUAGUUUAAUAGUUUUUAGAUUUAAUAUUUUUAGGGAUGAGCUUAAGAAUAUAUUUAUAUAAUAGAUAUGGUAAUUAAUUUAAUAAAUAGAAUUAUAAGUUUUUAUUUUUUUUAGUGUUUUAUAACUAUUUAAAUUAUAAAUAAGAUUUAUAUACACAUAUAUUUAUAUAGUUUAUUAAAAUAAAGUUUAUAAUUGUAAAUAACUAGUAAUAAUGAUAAAAUUAGUAUAAUUUUAUUUAUAAAUAAAUUAUUAUUUUUAGGUUUUUUAAAGGAAUUCGGCAAAUAUAUUUUUCACCUGUUUAUUAAAAACAUGUCUUUUUGAAUAUAAUUUAAAGUCUAGCCUGCCCAAUGAUUAAUAUUAAAUGGCCGCGGUAUUUUAACCGUGCAAAGGUAGCAUAAUCAUUAGUUUCUUAAUUAGAAGCUGGAAUGAAGGGUUGGAUGAGAAAAUAACUGUCUCUAUAAAAAUUAUUUAGAAUUUUAUUUUUAAGUCAAAAAGCUUAAAUUUCUAUAAAAGACGAGAAGACCCUAUAGAGUUUUAUAUUUCUUGUAUUAAAUUUAUUUUAGAAUUUAA